GAGGCCUGCGGAGCGGGUGCGCGCGGGCGGGCACGUGGGGCCCUUUCGUCCCCGGCGUCCGGGCGCCCUGCAUGGAUCCCCCACCCCAGCUCCUGCUCCCCGGCGGCGGCCGGUGGGCAGAAAGACCGAAACCCACUCACGGCCGCCUGCCGAAUCGCGGCUCUGCUGUUUGUGGGGCGUGCUAGAAACGUGGUCCUAAAAAGAAUGGCGUCCAUUUACAUAAUGCUUUGUUUGCGUUUCGCAAGUUUCUUUCGGUUAAAGCCACAGAAACCCCACCUCCUGCCCUUGUGUCGUUUCCACCGCGGCACCCUUUUCCGACAUUAGAAACAAUAGUGUACGCCUGUGGAGGCCUCGUUUGUUCAGGGGCUGCCGGCCAGGGCUUCAGGACGUUUCUGCGGCUUUCCCCGCGCGGCCUGGGCUCCCGCGGCUGCUUUUCGGGCCCAUGGGCGCAGCCACUGCGCCAGGCUCAAGGGGGGCGGCCCCGUCAGGGCCCGCCAUCUUGGAAGGCCUUUUUUGCCGGUUCUUCCCGCUGAGGAAGUGUCGCUCAAGACGCUGGCCUAUGAGUUGUGAUUUCUGCCUUUUCCCCUUCCUCCUUGGGCUAAGCCAGACCAGAAAGGGCCCCGUGCGCAACGUGCUUCACAAUCUCUCAGGGAAAGCGGCUAACGUGGCGCUACUCCGCCUCCCCUGUUCCUUACCCUUGGGGCGGCCGCCAUGUUUCCUGAACACAAAAUGGCGACACGUGGUUAGCAUUCGUCGCCAACGAGAAAUUGGGGUCGGCCCGAAAGCUCUAGAAUGCACCCCUCUUCCUCCCCGGGGCCUUCCACCUCCGCGAGUUUUAUGACUUAAAAAAGCCCACAGGCUGGUCUGAAGGUCGGAGGCCUAAUUUUAACGCGUUUUCCUCCCUUUAAUUUGAAACGGGAACGCGAAUGACUGUAAAAUGUGGGCACAAUAUUUAAUCUCUCGCCUUUUUAAAGCUUAAUAGUGGAUAAUAGGGGGGCAGUAUCAAGGGAUAAUUUGGGUCCCCACAGUACCAAAGCAUUUAGAAACCUCUGUUUAAUUUAAGGAAUGAGAUAAGUUACUGCUUUUCUAGACUUCCUAGCAUGGGCUGUUGUGCUGGAGAGAACGAGAGCUACGAAGAGACUACAGUGCCUCUGACUUUUUCAUAGGACAGUUGGCCGGUGAAUCUUAUUAAUAGUUUACCACAAUUAAGUGUUCAUUUUUAGUCUAGAAGGGACAGGCGUUUAUUGUGCAUUGGCCAGUGCCAGCACAUCCGAUGCAAGGCAGUUCACCGUAUUCUAUCUUUAAUUUUUACCAUGGUCCUCUGAGGUAGGUGUUCUUAUCUCUCUCUCUCUCUCUCUCUUUUAAACAGAGGAAGACAAACAUAAAGAUGAAGUGCUUAAUUCAAGGUCACACAAUGUCGGGGAUGGACCUCCAGAUUUCCUUACUGACCUGCAUUAUCUUGUGGAUACCUGAGUGAAUUCCACACCACCCAUUUUAUAGAUGAAACCACUGAGACAUGGAGCAAUUGACUGAGUAGUCACUGCCCCACCCCUGCCUGGAGCCUCACACAUGACUCGCCUCCUCUCAGUGACCACAGGUGAGACGUGGUCUUGUAACACAGUGGUUAAGAAUGUGACUUUGGAGCCAGCCUGCUAGGGGCUGAAUUCUGACUCAGCCAUUUACUAACUGUGUGACCUUAGGGAGGAGGACCUGGUUGAUAGAAGAAUUUAUCUCGUAGUCUUAACAUCCACUGUAAUUCCAAACUUUGAGGACGAUAGAGAUCAGUGGGCUUUGACUGCCCAGCAUGCAGUCUCCAUUCUUAGGUGGGUUCCCAAGCCUGUAAAAUGUAAGCCUUAUGCUGCUGAGGGCCAUCUUGCCACCCUGAGGGAAACGCUGCCUGAGAAUGAAACAAGCAUAAGUAAAAGCUGAGCUGUGAGAUGGAGCAAGAUGAAGGCCACAUGACAUCUUUGGAGCACCUGGAUCUAACUGUGCCUUAAGCUAGUCUAACCCUGAACAUUUCAUCAUUUCAUUGACAUGAGCCCAGGUUUUCUUUUUUUUUGGAUGGAGUCUUGCUCUGUCGCCCAGGCUGGAGUGCAGUAGCUCAAUCUCGGCUCACUGCAAGCUCCACCUCCCGGGUUCACGCCAUUCUCCUGCCUUAGCCUCCCAAGUAGCUGGGACAACAGGCGCCCACCACCACUCCCAGCUAAUUUUUUGUAUUUUUAGUAGAGACGGGGUUUUACCAUGUUAGCCGGGAUGGUCUUGAUCUCCUGACCUCAUGAUCCGCCCGCCUCGGCCUCCCAAAGUGCUGGGAUUACAGGUGUGAGCCACUGCACCCAGCCCUCAGGUUUUCCCUUUUUUUACCCCUCCUUUUGAAAAUUUGAUGUGGAAUUUUGCCACCUGCAGCCAGAAGAGUUUUAACUAAUCAGUGCCAUAAAUUUUAUAUAGUUCUCCUUGCAAAAUGUGGAUCAGCCUUUCUCAGCAAAUCCUUUGUCAUAAAGUGCUGAAUUGUAAGUUUGUCAUGAGAAUCACAUGAGAUCAUGCAUGUGAAGAACCUGGCAUUAUCCUCCUCAUAGAAAAAAACCAGUAAAUAUUAACUACAGGAAGCAAGGAAGGAGUGGGGUGAGGGGAAGAAGAAGGGGUACUGAUUUAAAAGAACCCUGGAGUCCUAAGGAUAAUCUAGGAACCCUCAGACCCAAUCCGAUACCCCUAUUCUAAAUGCUCCUAGUGCCCUGUACCUUCCCCUCAUAAGCCUUCAUUAUCAUUGUAAUGAUAUGUUUAUGUAAUAUUUUGAUUAAUGUCUCUCCUUCACUGACCUAGCAGUUCUAGCAGGGCAGUGAUUUUGCUGUGUUGCAUCCCCAGCACCUAGUCUGGUAUGUGGCAUUCAGCAUAUGUUUAUUGAAUGAAUGGCCAUGUGGUUAUUCAGAUCCUCCUUGAUUAUUGGGGUUAGGAUUGUGGCAGAAGUGGCAAAAUCAGGGAGAGUAGUCCCUGUCCCCUCUGUAUCUUAUACACUGCCCACACUCCCAACACACAUACACAUACAGAGAAUUUUGUCUCAAUUAGAUAAUUAACUUCUGCUUGGUUGUAAACCAAACCACUGGUUCUUAAACUUUCAUUGGAUCAUUUUAUUGAAGAAUUAAAUAGUGUGGUUCUGGCCUAAUGUCUGGAAAGCCUUGCAGAGGAGUGGAUUAGGUCUUUGUGAUAAACAGGCAGCCUUCCCUGCUCCUGUGUCUUUAUAAAAUCUAUUUAACUGGAGUAGUCCACCCUCCCUCAGGCUCUUACAGGAAUAUGUUGGAGGCUGUAGGAAGGUGGGAAACCGAGAGGGAAAGGACUGGGCCGCUGGAGACUUCACUCAUUCCCUAGCAAGAAACAAAAGCAGUAAAAGGUGGCCCGAGGACAACCUGAAGCUCACUCCUUCAGCACUUUUGGCUGGAGGUCACUUGUUGGAGCCCCACUCAGAGCUCAGCACACCACCCCACCAGCAGCCUCCUCCUCCCAGCUGAGGCUGCAUUUCAUCCCUUCCCCCAGCCUGCUUUCCCUGAGAUAGGGGAGUGUUUCCCAGGGCCCAUGUGACUUCCACUGGCAAGUGACGAUUACCAAUGGUUUACUAGUCAGUGAAACUACCAAAGGCUUUUGUGCUGUAGUAAUCCUUUUCCUGUUUAAAACUCUGGGGAUUUUCUAAUGUUGCCAAUAGUUUUUCAAGUCAGCAAUUACUGUGUGGAUUAUGUAAUGGCUCGGUAUUA
Long non-coding RNA from Homo sapiens (human), 3740 nucleotides. Ensembl annotates it as PCBP1 antisense RNA 1. Its record names the gene PCBP1-AS1. The record is from Ensembl. Lineage: Eukaryota; Metazoa; Chordata; Mammalia; Primates; Hominidae.